This 468-nucleotide ribosomal RNA is filed under the name uncultured bacterium. RNAcentral's name for it is "partial 16S ribosomal RNA". It matches the Rfam family "Bacterial small subunit ribosomal RNA", at positions 28 to 507 of the family's 1533-position model. The record is from RNAcentral.
GACGAACGCUGGCGGCGUGCUUAACACAUGCAAGUCGAACGGAAAGGCCCUGCUUUUGUGGGGUGCUCGAGUGGCGAACGGGUGAGUAACACGUGAGUAACCUGCCCUUGACUUUGGGAUAACUUCAGGAAACUGGGGCUAAUACCGGAUAGGAGCUCCUGCUGCAUGGUGGGGGUUGGAAAGUUUCGGCGGUUGGGGAUGGACUCGCGGCUUAUCAGCUUGUUGGUGGGGUAGUGGCUUACCAAGGCUUUGACGGGUAGCCGGCCUGAGAGGGUGAUCGGCCACAUUGGGACGGAGAUACGGCCCAGACUCCUACGGGACGCAGCAGUGGGGAAUAGUGCACAAUGGGCGGAAGCCUGAUGCAGCAACGCCGCGUGCGGGAUGACGGCCUUCGGGUUGUAAACCGCUUUCGCCUGUGACGAAGCGUGAGUGACGGUAAUGGGUAAAGAAGCACCGGCUAACUACGUG